AGUGAACGCUGGCGGUAGGCCUAACACAUGCAAGUCGAACGGCAGCACAGUAAGAGCUUGCUCUUACGGGUGGCGAGUGGCGGACGGGUGAGGAAUACAUCGGAAUCUACUUUUUCGUGGGGGAUAACGUAGGGAAACUUACGCUAAUACCGCAUACGACCUACGGGUGAAAGCAGGGGAUCUUCGGACCUUGCGCGAUUGAAUGAGCCGAUGUCGGAUUAGCUAGUUGGCGGGGUAAAGGCCCACCAAGGCGACGAUCCGUAGCUGGUCUGAGAGGAUGAUCAGCCACACUGGAACUGAGACACGGUCCAGACUCCUACGGGAGGCAGCAGUAGGGAAUAUUGGACAAUGGGCGCAAGCCUGAUCCAGCCAUACCGCGUGGGUGAAGAAGGCCUUCGGGUUGUAAAGCCCUUUUGUUGGGAAAGAAAAGCAGCAGGUUAAUACCCCGCUGUUCUGACGGUACCCAAAGAAUAAGCACCGGCUAACUUCGU
Molecule: ribosomal RNA, 491 nt
Filed under: uncultured bacterium
Lineage: Bacteria
Description: partial 16S ribosomal RNA
Rfam family: Bacterial small subunit ribosomal RNA
Source: RNAcentral